CGGAGAAGGCUAUGUUGGCCGGGCGACGGUUGUCCCGGUUUAAGCGUGUAGGCUGGUUUUCCAGGCAAAUCCGGAAAAUCAAGGCUGAGGCGUGAUGACGAGGCACUACGGUGCUGAAGCAACAAAUGCCCUGCUUCCAGGAAAAGCCUCUAAGCAUCAGGUAACAUCAAAUCGUACCCCAAACCGACACAGGUGGUCAGGUAGAGAAUACCAAGGCGCUUGAGAGAACUCGGGUGAAGGAACUAGGCAAAAUGGUGCCGUAACUUCGGGAGAAGGCACGCUGAUAUGUAGGUGAAGUCCCUCGCGGAUGGAGCUGAAAUCAGUCGAAGAUACCAGCUGGCUGCAACUGUUUAUUAAAAACACAGCACUGUGCAAACACGAAAGUGGACGUAUACGGUGUGACGCCUGCCCGGUGCCGGAAGGUUAAUUGAUGGGGUCAGCGCAAGCGAAGCUCUUGAUCGAAGCCCCGGUAAACGGCGGCCGUAACUAUAACGGUCCUAAGGUAGCGAAAUUCCUUGUCGGGUAAGUUCCGACCUGCACGAAUGGCGUAAUGAUGGCCAGGCUGUCUCCACCCGAGACUCAGUGAAAUUGAACUCGCUGUGAAGAUGCAGUGUACCCGCGGCAAGACGGAAAGACCCCGUGAACCUUUACUAUAGCUUGACACUGAACAUUGAGCCUUGAUGUGUAGGAUAGGUGGGAGGCUUUGAAGUGUGGACGCCAGUCUGCAUGGAGCCGACCUUGAAAUACCACCCUUUAAUGUUUGAUGUUCUAACGUGGACCCGUGAUCCGGGUUGCGGACAGUGUCUGGUGGGUAGUUUGACUGGGGCGGUCUCCUCCUAAAGAGUAACGGAGGAGCACGAAGGUUGGCUAAUCCUGGUCGGACAUCAGGAGGUUAGUGCAAUGGCAUAAGCCAGCUUGACUGCGAGCGUGACGGCGCGAGCAGGUGCGAAAGCAGGUCAUAGUGAUCCGGUGGUUCUGAAUGGAAGGGCCAUCGCUCAACGGAUAAAAGGUACUCCGGGGAUAACAGGCUGAUACCGCCCAAGAGUUCAUAUCGACGGCGGUGUUUGGCACCUCGAUGUCGGCUCAUCACAUCCUGGGGCUGAAGUAGGUCCCAAGGGUAUGGCUGUUCGCCAUUUAAAGUGGUACGCGAGCUGGGUUUAGAACGUCGUGAGACAGUUCGGUCCCUAUCUGCCGUGGGCGCUGGAGAACUGAGGGGGGCUGCUCCUAGUACGAGAGGACCGGAGUGGACGCAUCACUGGUGUUCGGGUUGUCAUGCCAAUGGCACUGCCCGGUAGCUAAAUGCGGAAGAGAUAAGUGCUGAAAGCAUCUAAGCACGAAACUUGCCCCGAGAUGAGUUCUCCCUGACCCUUUAAGGGUCCUGAAGGAACGUUGAAGACGACGACGUUGAUAGGCCGGGUGUGUAAGCGCAGCGAUGCGUUGAGCUAACCGGUACUAAUGAACCGUGAGGCUUAACCUUACAACGCCGAAGGUGUUU
This 1495-nucleotide ribosomal RNA is filed under the name Escherichia coli. Its description in RNAcentral is "partial 23S ribosomal RNA". It matches the Rfam family "Bacterial large subunit ribosomal RNA", at positions 1473 to 2925 of the family's 2925-position model. Lineage: Bacteria; Pseudomonadati; Pseudomonadota; Gammaproteobacteria; Enterobacterales; Enterobacteriaceae. The record is from RNAcentral.